UCCUCCCUCUUUCUUCGUGCCUAAUACAUGCAAGUUGAGCGCUGAAGGUUGGUACUUGUACCAACUGGAUGAGCAGCGAACGGGUGAGUAACGCGUGGGGAAUCUGCCUUUGAGCGGGGGACAACAUUUGGAAACGAAUGCUAAUACCGCAUAAAAACUUUAAACACAAGUUUUAAGUUUGAAAGAUGCAAUUGCAUCACUCAAAGAUGAUCCCGCGUUGUAUUAGCUAGUUGGUGAGGUAAAGGCUCACCAAGGCGAUGAUACAUAGCCGACCUGAGAGGGUGAUCGGCCACAUUGGGACUGAGACACGGCCCAAACUCCUACGGGAGGCAGCAGUAGGGAAUCUUCGGCAAUGGACGAAAGUCUGACCGAGCAACGCCGCGUGAGUGAAGAAGGUUUUCGGAUCGUAAAACUCUGUUGGUAGAGAAGAACGUUGGUGAGAGUGGAAAGCUCAUCAAGUGACGGUAACUACCCAGAAAGGGACGGCUAACUACGUG
Molecule: ribosomal RNA, 497 nt
Filed under: uncultured bacterium
Lineage: Bacteria
Description: partial 16S ribosomal RNA
Rfam family: Bacterial small subunit ribosomal RNA
Source: RNAcentral